UACGUACCGGACGAACGUUAUUCGGAAUCACUGGGCUUAAAGAGUGCGUAGGCGGCGUUGUAGGUGAGGUGUGAAAUCCCACGGCUCAACCGUGGAACUGCGCUUCAAACCACAAUGCUUGAGGGAGACAGGGGUGAGCGGAACUGAUGGUGGAGCGGUGAAAUGCGUUGAUAUCAUCAGGAACACCGGUGGCGAAGGCGGCUCACUGGGUCUCUUCUGACGCUGAGGCACGAAAGCUAGGGUAGCGAACGGG
Molecule: ribosomal RNA, 253 nt
Filed under: uncultured bacterium
Lineage: Bacteria
Description: partial 16S ribosomal RNA
Rfam family: Bacterial small subunit ribosomal RNA
Source: RNAcentral